Molecule: ribosomal RNA, 253 nt
Filed under: uncultured bacterium
Lineage: Bacteria
Description: partial 16S ribosomal RNA
Rfam family: Bacterial small subunit ribosomal RNA
Source: RNAcentral
UACGGGGGGAGCAAGCGUUGUUCGGAUUUACUGGGCGUAAAGGGCGCGUAGGCGGUAGCACAAGUCAGUUGUGAAAUCUCCGGGCUUAACUCGGAAAGGUCAACUGAUACUGUGCGACUAGAGUGCAGAAGGGGCAACUGGAAUUCUCGGUGUAGCGGUGAAAUGCGUAGAUAUCGAGAGGAGCACCUGCGGCGAAGGCGGGUUGCUGGGCUGACACUGACGCUGAGGCGCGAAAGCAUGGGGAGCGAACAGG